Molecule: non-coding RNA, 163 nt
Filed under: Cyprinodon variegatus (sheepshead minnow)
Lineage: Eukaryota; Metazoa; Chordata; Actinopteri; Cyprinodontiformes; Cyprinodontidae
Source: RNAcentral
GUGGUCCCGGGCGGCGGCUGCUGCGUCGGCUGUACGCCCCAGCCGCCAGCCCUCCCUGGACCUAGACUAUAACAGGACGCUGCUGAUGAGGCGCGUCCUGGCAGUUGCAGGUGUGAGCAUGCAUACAGCUGUCUGAUGCUCAUGUAUGAUACUGCACACAGUC